CCAAUUGAUGGACUAAUUAAAAGUAUGCCUGUCCUCGUGUGUGUGUGUGUGUGUGUGUUGCCAGAGAAAAGAUAGAGGCAUGCAUUGAAGUCCGAUUAUAGUUCUUCAAGACACAGAAUAGCUCGAGCUUGUGCUGCAGUCAUUAACUAAGCAAACCAUAGAAACAGCUGUUAGAAAGCCUCCUUAACUGUCCUUCUGCUGAUGCCUCAUUUCCAUGACGAAGAGAUUAGCGAGAUAAGGAAAAGAAAAAUCGGCAACCCGCUGCAACAUCACUGAUGCCAAAGGGAGGGAAGGAGGGGUGCAGAGGAGAGCUGACAUAGACUUCAUCAGAUACCCCAGCAAUGCUCCCUGCACUGUAAUCCCCACCUACACACACUUCUGAUGAUUCAUAGAAGAAAAGAAGCCCAAGCAUGUUUCCGUGCCUUCUCAUAAGCUCGACACAAACAAGCUGUGCCACGUGCCGGGCAAGCCACCAAGUCCCCAGGCACUUUGCAAAGUGUCGCUGGGCGGACUUUUACGGAGCAGAUGGUGAAUGGAAUCACCUUGGCUGAUCAUGCUUUCCAUUGAAUCAGCACAGCAGCCAAGGUCAGCUCCCAAAGUAGCAAUUUGGGAGUUACAAUCCUUGACAAAUAUAAAAUAUUUGUCAUUAAGGCAAUGGAGAGAAGGUCAAACAUAUGAGAAGGAAAAGAGAUCAUGCGCACAUUUCCUUUCAGUUGGCAUUCUGCCCUCAACAACUUAGCUACUGUGUUUCUAUGAAAGCAUAGAUGCAUAGAGUUGGAAGACCUCAAAAGGAUCAUCCAGUGCAACCAUGGCCAUGCAAGAAAACACAGCUAAGGUGCUCCUGAGAGAAAGCCAUUCAAUCUCCAUUUAAAAACCUCCAAAGAAGAAAAAAUAUUAUUUAAUAUAAUCUGUUCCAUUGUUAAAUAGCUCUUACUUUCUAUUAGUUCUUCCUAAUACAGACAGAAAGGUGGAAUUUCUUUCCUUAUAUUGGAAUCCAUUGGUUUAUGGUCAGGAGCAGAAACCAAGAUGGCUGCAACUCAAUGUUGUUUGGAAGAUUACUUUUGGUUACAGCCUGUUUGUGGAAAGUGCUUUAAGCUAAUGCCUUUAUCUGCUGAUUUGGAAGCAGUUUUCUCUCAUUCAUCUACCAUUCCAAAAUGCACUAUACUAGCAUUUAGUGUUUCAGGGAAUCCCACCGUCCUGUGGAGUAGGUUGGGCAAACAAAAGGGGCUGUGUUGUCAAAGGCUUUCAUGUCUGGGAUAACAGGGUUGUUGUAUGUUUUCCGGGCUGUAUGGCCAUGUUCCAGAAGUAUUCUCUCCUGAUGUUUCCCCCACAACUAUGGCAGGCAUCCUCAGAGGUUGUGAAGUAUGGAGAAACUAAGCAACGAAGGUUUAUAUAUCUGUAGAAGUUCCUCGGGGGGGGGGGGGGAGAACUCUUGUCUGUUGGAGGCCAGUGUGAAUGUUGCAACUAAUUAACAAUUAACAAUUAAAUAAAAAUGUACAAUUAUAGCAUGUUUUCUCAUUAUAGCUCUAAAAACAAGGGAGACAUGAACCCAUGAAGUUUCCCCACUUGCUCAAUUACUUGAUGAAAAAAGAAAGAAAAUUUGUUACCUCGUUGUAGUAACACAAAUUUUAGGUCCAUAAUUUUGGAAACACCCCCAAAAACUAUUCACCCCCCUCCUCAAUUUUGUAAUGAGUAUUGAAACUUUUUUUUCAUUGAUCGCACUGGUAUAUUGGUUAGCAUAACUUCAAAUUAUGCAUCAAUAAGUGUGGUACUGAAUUUUUGCCCUUGUCUUUGAUAAAUAUGUAAUGAAGUUUUAAUCUAUGGUGUUGAAGUCAAUUUAUGAAAAGAUGGAUAUUAUUGAAUUAUCCUACUGCAAAACUGAGCCAAAAGCCACUAUAUAUCACUUGUCAUUGUCCAAAACGGAUUGUGUCAUCCCUGACAUUCACAAUAAAAUCUCCAUCCAUUUCUUUCUCAGAUCCUGUGCUUUUGAGAAAUUUAUGGGACAUGUUGCACUUGCUGUUGCAAAUCAAUAAUUGAUCUCAGUUGCAUUGGCUUCACUUCUUCACACAUCAGAUUCAUGCAGUAAUAAACAAAGUGAUUAGCCAAGUGCGGAUUAUUGGAGAGAGCUCACUGAAUACUAAGUAUGCUAAGUUUGUCCUCCAUGCAUUACAAACAAAAUGAGGAAGAUAGGUUUGGUCUUUCAAAUUUGCAUGUAUUUCUGUCUAGGGAUGAAUGGAGUAUUCACAAAUAUUUCAAUCACAGAUUAAAAAUGUGGUUGGUUCCCAAGUAUCUGGUUAACAUAAUGGCAGUCAACUAGUGGCAGAAAAGAUAUAACUUGAGAUGGGCAAAUUUGCACUUACGUCUACAUGUGUCCUUUUCACAUGUAUACUUAUAUCUGUAUGUGCUCCAUUUGUUCAACAUCACAUUUACGAUAGAUGUUCCUGGCACUAUCUCUACCUUAUCUGAGCACUGUGCAUUCACAGGACAUGGAUGCUUGGUCAAAGGAAAAUCCGAUCAGCUGAUUUUUUUUCACAUUUAUACAAUGUCCACAUUUUAUUUUUAAGAAAAGAUGAUAAUGUGUACCUAAACAAUGGAUGUGAAUCUUUAUUUGGUUUGUCCUUUCAUAGUAAGGAGAUAGAUAAAGAUAUAGAUAUAGAUAUUCUCUAUGCCAUGACACUGAAAGAUAUUUUUUGCAUAAGGUUGUAUCUACACUGCCCUUUUCACCAGGAUAUGAUUCCAGAUUAUCUGCUUUGCACUGGAUUAUAUCAGUCUACAUUAUAUCACCCAAAUAAUCUGGGAUAAGCAGAUAAUCUGGGAUCAGAUCCUGGGAUAGAGGGCAGUGUAGAUCAAGUCUCGGAUUAGAGAGAUUUUGUGAUUUUUGAGACCAUCACUAAUGGACAUUUCUAUAACUGUAAAACAUAUAAAUAUCGCCUUUUCACAUGGACUACCAUGAAGCAGCGGCACUGGAUGGCUGUCUACGUCUUUUUGAUCAAUUAUUCUUUUAUUUUCUGCUUGUUCUAUUUAUGUGUGUUUAACUACAGACAGAGAAAAAGGCAUCAACUCUGCAUAGAGAUAGUUUGGGCAAAUUGCAGUGAAUGGAAACUCAAAACCAUUUGGUGCUUUUUCUCUUGUGACAAGAAAUAGGAAGGAAACAAAAAGGAAAAGGGGAGAGAGGGAUAUUUAGGAUAACAUAACAAUAAUAAAUAAAUAAUUGUAUUUCUUACUUUCCUCUCCUCAUGGCUCAUGGGUUGGACAUGUACAAUUGUAAGAUUGUCACAUAUCCAAGAAAAUAUAUUUUCUUGAAGUAAAUGUGUAUAAAGAGCUAAAGCAGUAAGAUCUGACUAUGGAAUAAUAGAGAAAAGGCAGCUUGUUAAUGUAGUUUGAUGCCACUUUGGUUGAAGUAUUGCCUGGCUGAAAAAGUAAGGUUUUGAGGAGUGGCAUCAUCAGACAAUGGAUCCCCAUCAUUAUAUGACGAUGAGCUUAGUCUGGAAGUCUAUCUUUCCAACCUUGGAGUUUGAACCUUUUUGCAAUGGUAAAAGCCUACAGGGAUCAACAGCAUUCGCUUCCGUUAAAUUCCACAUCUCAGAAAUCUAACAGAAAAAACACAUAGAUCAACAAAUGCAAGAUUUUUUCUAAUUCAAAAUAACUAUGUUCCAAUACAUCUAAAUAAGAGGCGCAAACACCAUUGAAGUUAACCACAUCAUAUCUCACAAAAAAUUAUCUGUCCUAAUGACACCAGUUCCUGUUAGAUCUUGGCAACUUAGCAAGGUCAGGUCUAGUUAGUGCUUGAAUGGAAGACCACCAAGGAAUGCCAGAUGCUAUAGGCAACAUUUCAGAAGAAGGAACUAGAAAAACCACAUCUGGUUAUUCCUGGCCUAGAAAAAGAUCUAUGAAAAUCAUAAGCUGACAGUGACUUAAUGCAUAAACAAACACAGUCCAACAUUAGUAUAAAGAAACAAUUUCUCAGACGAUUCAGAAAGUGUACAUGGCUGGUAUCAACAAUUGUCUCACCAUGUGCAAGAUUUUCCCGACAUCCCUAAAUUCUAAACAUGAUGACACACAAGUUGUAUAUGUUGCUUGAGGGGGGGGGCACCCUUGGACUCCUUUUCCAUAUUCUGAUGAACAACACCAGUAAAUUCUGGACUUCUUGUGGGUUGAAAUUUUGGUUCACAAAUGCUACCUAUGCAGCUGUGUGAGACAUAAUGGGAUGCUGCAGAUGUGUCCUUGAGAAUGAUAUACAAGGCAUCAGAUGGGAAGAGUGCCAUACGAUUUGUGCAAUGCUCCUUUCUGUUGAGAUAAUGAGAAAUGAUUGGAGAUAACAGAGCAUCUGCCCGUCUUCGCGUUGAAAAUAAAAUUUGUAAAUGAAAGCUUAUAUCUAGUUUGUUUUCAUUUUUAUUAUGAAAUAACAUAGAAUUACCAGGACAUAGUGAAUAAAUGGUUUAAAAUAUGUAUGUCGCAAUAUGUAAUAAGAGGGUUGUUUUUUACAACUAAACAGCAACCUAAUGCAUAUUCAAGGUCUUGGCAUACGUGUUUCUUUUACAUUCAUUUGAUCUUAUUUUUGAAUAGUUACCAAAUGGCAUUGGCUAUACCAGUUAUAUUUCUGAUAUUGUUAUACUUUGGUUUUAAAGAAAAACCAUCUGAUGCUUGCUGAUCCAAACUAAAUUAAUGUAGGUGACAGAUAUAUGUUUAACCAACAGUUUUGCACAAUUCAUUUCCCUUUGAGGUAACUGCCAUGCCAUGAACUUUGAGGGAACUAAAAUUUAGAUAUCUCAUAGAGUGAUAUAUUGGCAUCUACUGGGAUUUAAUUCCAGGAUACAUCCAUGGAGGUGAAAUACAUAUGAGAUGCUCAAAUCCAAUGGCAUAGCAAAUGGUUUCACUUUUAGAAGGUCUUCUUUUUAAAAAAUUGUGUUCAUGGUGUGUGUGGGUGUGUGAAUAAUUUCAAACCGUAGAUGAUUGAAUUCAUUGAUGCAUUAUCUGGGGUGUCACUUGAUUGAUUGUCACCAUGUUAUGGUAAGGGGGCUUGUAUGUUCUAAUAAACCUGUGGGCAUAACCAACUGAGUCAUGCACUUCCGGUGGAAGAUAACAUGGUCCAUGUUACAAAGGCUGUGAAGGCGGAAGAAGGCUGCAACAGACUCAGAAGCUACCAUUGUCAUGUUAACCACGCCACUGGUUGGAGCCCUCACUCUGUAAAGACUGUGUGUUGAUCAGCUGUGCACCGACCUCCACACAUUAAAAAAAACUCAUGAACAGACGUCUUCCAAGAACUUGGAUGGCCAUCAUACUCAGACAAUGAGGGAUUGCUUAAGUAAGUAUCUGGGGUACAAAGUAGCAAUUGUAUUUUUUAAGGAAAUUUAAAAGCUAUGAUCAGUUAAGCAAAGUGGAAACGCAGACCAGUCUUUAACUGGGAACUGAAGACCUGGUGGUGUCGGCAGGUUUUUGAGUAAUUACAUUGGAAUACCGCCGAUCUCUGGGCCUGAAUAUAUUACACAAGAUUUAUCUAGCCUACAAUGAUACAUUUUAAUAUAUUGGGUUUAUGGUUCCCAUCCCCUUGAUCAGGUUGUGUAAGUGUUAUUUAUUGCUAUAUAAUUGUAUUGUAUUGUUUUACCUUGCUUAAUAAUGUGUUAUUAUGUUGUUAUGUAAUAUAUGUGUAGUUUUUAUGAUUGGAAACCGCCCUGAGUCCCAUCCGGGAGAUAGAGCGGUAUAUAAAUAAAGUAUUAUUAUUAUUAUUAAGUCUUAAGAAGGCUACAAUGAGACUGCAAAAGGGGGGGGUUAUAAAUUUUAAAGAGCUAUACAUAUUAGAAAGAGUCUAGAUUCUUCUUUUGCAUUUCUUUGCUGGCUUCUAGAUCUUUUGGGUUUAGGAUGGAGAAGCUACCUUGAAAGCCAGGCCAGAUCAUACUUCACUGACUAACUUCUGAGUGUGUAGGCUAAGAAGCAGAUGAAAAACUCUCCAUCCAUCCUGACUGCUGUGGUCAAGGAGGGAAAAAAGAAGCAGUAUCUGUUGGACUUAAUCCUUUUCCCCACUGCUAUCCCUUUUUUCUUAUUGGCAUUGUAAGCCUGGGGGCAGGGAAUUGUUUAAUUAUGAAUUUUUAAGAUGUUCUCAGAACCUUUUGCCUCAAGAAUGCAUAUAAAUACACCAAACUGAUUAAAUUAUUUUAAAAAGCAUGAUAUGUUUCAGCUUCCACUUCCACCUUCUUCAGUAAUGUCUGUGGGUUAUUUUAUUUUUGGGAGAGGGUGGGGGAUUUUGGAAUACCUGUAUUUACAUAUGCAUACAUAAUGAAAUACCUUGGAAUUGGGACUCAAGUUGGGACUUGAAAUCCCAUGUAUAUUUCAUACACCCCUUAAACAUAUAGCCUGAAGUGGAAAUAGAGAUUUCACUUGAAUAUUAGGAAGAACUUCCUGAAAGUCAGAGCUGAUUGGUAGGAGAAUAUACUGACUUUGAAUGUGUUGGGGUCUCCAUCUUUUAAAACUGGAUGGCCAUCAGAAGAGGUUUGCUUUGUGUGCCCCUGUAUGGAAGAAGGAAGUUGGACUUGAUGCCUUCAGAUUUUUCCAGCUCUAGGAUCCUAGGACUCUAAGAUUGUGUUCACUGAACAAUCAGAAAGCAAAGAUGUCACUAUCUCAGUCAUCCACAUGGACGAUUUUGGAUUAUUUCAGAUUUCAGAGUUCUGGGUGAUGGAUGUUCAACCUGUACACAUAUUUACGUAGGUAUCUCUAUGACACUUUUCUUGUUUGAAAGUGCAGUCAGUUUUUAAAUGGUUUUAUUAUGACAUGAUACUGGCUUAUUGGCUACUCUCGCUAUGUGUGUCAAACCUAAACAAAAUUGUAGAAAUAAAAAAUCCUUCUUUCCCUAUGUGAAGAAUAACAGUUUCUCUCUGAUCAGAGUAACUAUGAUAAUUUCUCUUGGUCAAAGUUUGUGUGUGUGCAGGAAGGGCUAUCUUGACAGCAUCCUUUUGUCUACCCAAUGAUGUCACCUAAUUAAUGCUCCAGACAGAGAAGAGCAAGAGGUCAUCUGAGGUCAAAAUAUGAUAAACACCAGAACUUGGAACACAAUAGACAAAAAUAAUAAUAUUUCUGUUUGACAAUUCUGUCAUUUUAAGGGCAACCUUCUGGGGUGUGGGGGGAAUGAUCCCAUUACACAGACACAUCUAUCAACUAUUAUGUAUGCCCUGGUCCUGUCUAAGGUGAAUGAUGCUGAACUGUUGGCCUCUGAAAUC
Molecule: long non-coding RNA, 7211 nt
Organism: Anolis carolinensis (green anole)
Lineage: Eukaryota; Metazoa; Chordata; Lepidosauria; Squamata; Anolidae
Exons: 3
Source: RefSeq, a predicted model, not a curated record